This 253-nucleotide ribosomal RNA is filed under the name uncultured bacterium. Its description in RNAcentral is "partial 16S ribosomal RNA". It matches the Rfam family "Bacterial small subunit ribosomal RNA", at positions 524 to 776 of the family's 1533-position model. The record is from RNAcentral.
UACGGAGGGGGCUAGCGUUGUUCGGAAUUACUGGGCGUAAAGCGCACGUAGGCGGCUUUGUAAGUUAGAGGUGAAAGCCCAGGGCUCAACCCUGGAAUUGCCUUUAAGACUGCAUCGCUUGAACAUCGGAGAGGUAAGUGGAAUUCCGAGUGUAGAGGUGAAAUUCGUAGAUAUUCGGAAGAACACCAGUGGCGAAGGCGACUUACUGGGCGAUUGUUGACGCUGAGGUGCGAAAGCGUGGGGAGCAAACAGG